CAAAGGUGCUUUGUGUUGAGCAACCAGCCGCCUUCGCUUUUCUCUUCCAUUUCUGCCCACUGUCCCUCUGGCUCCGUCACCACCAGAGUGUGCUGCUGCUUUGUCAAGAUGCUCAAAAGGAAAGGCGGAGAGGCAGGGGAAGAGCUGGCUCCCCUCACUCCAGUGCCUGGUUGGAGGUAAACAGCCUCCCUGGGCCAGGAGGGAAGGGGCAACCUUCAAAGGCAGAAAAGAUAUAUAUAUAUAUCUUAGUGGACUACAUAUAUGCAUGGGGUCCUUGGAGUCCAGAAGAGGGCAUCGGACUUCCUGGAACUCUCCUGGAGUCACAGAUGGUCCUGAGUCACCAUGCAAGUGCUGGGAACUGAAACUGAGUCCUCUCUGAAAGAGCAGAAAGUCCCUUUAACCACUGAGCCAUCUCUCCAGCCCCACCAUGGUGAGGACUUUUAAAUCAUCAGAAUUCUGCUUGUUUGCUUCAACAGCCAGAACCCUGUGACCACAGAUGAAAAGCAAACAGAUCCCAAGUUAACUGAAGGGAUAGAAAGCAUCAACAGGGACACUUGGUAGUUGGCUGACUCUGGAGUAGUGAGGUAACUGUCAAAGGUAUUAUGUGUGCAUACAUGUAUAGAUGUGUAUAUGGAGGAUUAAAAAGGGGGAUAAACUUACUCCUUCCUUGAGUGGGGCCUUCCUAUGUUUCACCUUUAUAUGUUUAGUUCGAUGUGUGGAUUGUAUUAGGUGUGUAGUUACACGUUUUUAUGUUUUAAGAGGUGAUACUCUUUCCUCUUGGAUGAAUACUUUACCCAGAAUUUCAAAGUACAAUACAGAUAGAAGAGAAAUUCACCUUGGAUGCUCCAAGGGAAGGAACCAGAAACUAAAGAACAUCACUGGGACCUCCUGGACUUGUUUGAAACCCAAUAAGCUACUAGAUCUUGGUGAUUUUAACAUCCUGUCAAGUCAAGGGAUAAGAUUAGAGACAUCUACUUUUUAUGUGGGUAACCCCACUUUUCUGUUGCUGCCCCUUCAGUGGGUCUAAUUAUCAGUGGUCAAAGAUAUUGCUGUACCUUGAUAAUUCUCCUUCUAACACAUAGUUAAGAGGUCGAUAGCAGCCUAACACUGUUAAGUCAUUUACUUCAUUACAUUCAUUACAUACUUGCACACAGCAUCAUCAAAAGAAGAGUACAUUAACUACAGAUAUAUAGAUAUAUAGAUAGAUAGAUAGAGUGCAUCCAUAUAAUUUUAUUUUGGUAUGCUAUUAUAAUUGUUAUACUUUACCAUUAGCUAUUGUUAAUCUUUUAGUAUGCUUCAUUUACAAGUUAAAUUUUGUCACAGGCAUUAUGCAUAGGAAAAACUAUAGUCUAUUGAGUUGGGCAUUAUCCUUGGUGUCAGGUAUCUGCUGCGAGUGCAGAACAAUUCCUCACAGGCAUGUAGAGGUCACUGGACUUGGGGAUUGCUAUCUACCUGUCUCCCUUCCCUUGGAAACUUUUUACAAUGUAUUCUUUACUUUCAACAUAAUCCCAUCCUGCCCUUAAUUCCACAACAGUAUUUUUACCUAAUUAUUCAUAGCAGACAAAGAAGAUACUCUUUUUCCUCUACUUAAAAACAAAGGAAGCUGCCACCUUCCCAUGUCACUGUCACUCUCUGUUUAUGGACAGUUCACUAGAAUAGCAGUGGAUGGGAAUGAAGAGCUCCACAAUCAAGUGGCAAGCUGUGUGGCCUUGGGUGACUUAGGCCACUGUGCUGACACUGUGCCCUCUCAGGUAAAAGGUUAUUUCCAGUUCUAAAAUUCAAAGCCCAUACCACAAGGUGGGGAACGUUCCUAGAACCUGUAGACUGACCUCAAACUCAAAGGCAUCUCCUCCUGAGACAACAGGCUGCUUGCUCAAGGCGUUACCUACUGCUUUAUUUGCUUGGUAAGGAUGAAACGAAACGCUAGGGACCUCAUGUGAGCAUGUCGGUCUUGCAUUAUAGAGAGUUCGAAUGUCUCUUUUAAUCACGUUAGCUGGACUGAUGUGAACUUCUUAACUGUCUCUGUGGCUGCUUAUUUAUAAAUAUUAUGGACACGCGGUUCUCUGGGUUCUCUGUGUGAGCACGUGAUCAGGGAUGCAUGAAGAGAGGACCAAAAGCAGCAACGUCAAAUCCCCCACGCAGACCAUCUAAGGCCUUUGCUUGGGAGUUUAACCAAGUUUUGCUCCCCGGCUCAGGAUAAGCUCCUUCAAAGAGUUAUUUCUUUGAGCUGAGGUUAGAUUUUUGUUUUAUUCAAAGUGACUUCAGCCCCGUCACAAGACAGUCUCAUAAAAUCCGUAUCUUGGCUUAAGCUGGGGAGAAAUGAGCCAAUCCAUCAGCCAGGAAUGCGGCAGUCUGACCACUUCCUCAGGCAACUAGAAGGGGGUGCCAUCUAUUCAAUUUAUGGGGCUGGGUGGCAGUGAGCAAGGCACUCCUGGAGGUGCGUGCGGUAAAUGAGAAUUUCCCUGAACUCUUGCCUUGAUAAAGUUCAAAAUCUAAAUAAAAGAACCAUCUGGGAAGGGAGGGGAGACAAGGGACCGGAAGCAGGAGAAAAAGUCAGUUCUUGUUCAAGGAAGGCAAGAAGAAAGGAAGCAAACUGUCUUCCACUACACCCCCAACUUGCCUAGGACACAACUGGCAGAUGGGACUGGAAGCAGGGCCUCCGGAACACCUCUCCCUCUUCUAUCUGAAUGCUAAAACCAACCCUCAUUUAAUGGGAAAAUGUAAGUUUGACUCGAUUGCCUCCCCUGACCUCGAAUCCUACCACCUGUGGUAACCUUGUGAUUUGUCAUCUCAGAUCAUAAACAAGUGCGACUCCAACAGGGCAGCCGAUAUAAUAUCAUUAGUUUAUAUUUAUGUCUGCUCUUUCCCAGACCUCAUUGCAAAUGCUGUUUUGAUGCCAUUGAUGAGAGGUCUGGGAUUACAAAUCUCGACCAUUUUAACAGACAUUUGGGAAAGGAAACAGAAGACGGAUAAUUUUGAGGUCUUUCCAAAAGCCAAAGGAAGGAGGAUGGCUAAUAAAAAAAAUAUAUAUAUAUAUAUAUUUUUUUUCAGUUAUUUUGAUGAACUCAGGUUGAAAUGUCAAUUACUCCCCUUUGGCUAGAACAUGAAACUUGAAGCCCUUGGCCUUGCAAAUUGGGCCUUGCAUGAAGCCCAAGCCACUAUUUCUAACCAUGAAUUCUAAACUGUAGCUCCCCUAAAGAAACUCAGUGAGCAUGACUCUGCUCUUGCUUUCCUUUCCCCCUGAAUGUCUUUUCCUUGCUGAUAAUCUCACUAUGUAUACACACGACCCUUCCUCACCUCCACACCAGGACUGCCGAGGGCUACUCCUCCCUUCUCUAUACCUUAAAAACUAUAGUCUUGAGCAUCUUCUAAGGGACAUUAAGAAUUCAGAUGGCCUUAUCCACCAGCCUCCUGAGGCCAAGGAUCCUUCAUCAUCCAUCCUUGGCAGCCCUAUGAGAGCAAAUCCAGAAUCUUUCCCACCAGUCACAGUCAAUGAGAUUUCAGCAAUUAAUGAAUUAAGAUGGACCUGACAUAACACCGAGUGUAUCGCUGGAUAUCAAAAAUUCAUUUUACCACAAAUUGUAAAACACCAGCAACCACCUUUCCUUCCCUAUCCUCAAUUGCUAUUAAAUACAGAUUUUUAAAUGGUGCAGCAAUCAUGAGAUAAUGGCAUGCAGCCAUAGAUCAAGAUGGUUUUAAUGUGAGCUGAGUCUCCACAGACACCCUAACCUUAGCUAAUGAUGAAGACCAGUGAUAGACGUGUUAUAACUAGCAGUAGAAAGCAUUGUUUUCUGAAGCUUUUGGUUGAUUGUUUAUUGUUGGCUGUUCCUCCCCACUCAAAAGGGCAACUUCUAAAUCCUUGUUCAUCAGUAGCACUUAUAAGACAAAAAAAAAA
Long non-coding RNA from Mus musculus (house mouse), 3895 nucleotides. RefSeq annotates it as predicted gene 29083. The transcript is spliced from 2 exons. The record is from RefSeq and is a predicted model, not a curated record. Lineage: Eukaryota; Metazoa; Chordata; Mammalia; Rodentia; Muridae.